RNAcentral lists this transfer RNA (83 nucleotides) under Danionella translucida. It matches the Rfam family "tRNA". Rfam says of the family: Transfer RNA (tRNA) molecules are approximately 80 nucleotides in length. The record is from Rfam by way of RNAcentral. Lineage: Eukaryota; Metazoa; Chordata; Actinopteri; Cypriniformes; Danionidae. RNAcentral also lists the same sequence under 1 other name.
ACCAGGAUGGCUGAGAGGUUAAGGCGUUGGACCUAAGAUCCAAUGGACAAAUGUCCUUGUGGGUUAGAGCCCCACUCCUGGUA